CCUACGGGUGGCAGCAGUGGGGAAUAUUGCACAAUGGGGGAAACCCUGAUGCAGCGACGCCGCGUGAGUGAAGAAGUAUUUCGGUAUGUAAAGCUCUAUUAGCAGGGAAGAAAAUGACGGUACCUGAUUAAGAAGCCCCGGCUAACUACGUGCCAGCAGCCGCGGUAACACGGAGGGGGCAAGCGUUAUCCGGAUUUACUGGGUGUAAAGGGAGCGUAGACGGCAGCGCAAGUCUGAAGGGAAAUGCCGGGGCUGAACCCCGGAACUGCUUGGGAAACUGGGCAGCUAGAGUGCAGGAGAGGCAGGUGGAAUUCGUGGUGUAGCGGUGAAAUGCGUAGAUAUGACGAAGAACCCCGAUGGCGAAGGCAGCUUACUGCAGUGUAACUGACGUUGAGGCUCGAAAGCGCGGGUAGCGAACAGGAUUAGAUACCCUGGUAGUC
RNAcentral lists this ribosomal RNA (440 nucleotides) under uncultured bacterium. Its description in RNAcentral is "partial 16S ribosomal RNA". It matches the Rfam family "Bacterial small subunit ribosomal RNA", at positions 338 to 795 of the family's 1533-position model. The record is from RNAcentral.